AUCACCUGGGGACCUUGCCAAAAUGGAGAUUCUGUUUCAGUACGUCUGAGUAGGGUCUGAGAUUCUGCCUUUCUAACAAGCUCUCAGGUGAUGCUGA
Molecule: microRNA precursor, 97 nt
Organism: Loxodonta africana (African savanna elephant)
Lineage: Eukaryota; Metazoa; Chordata; Mammalia; Proboscidea; Elephantidae
Rfam family: mir-544 microRNA precursor family
Source: Rfam